Molecule: ribosomal RNA, 147 nt
Filed under: Pedobacter antarcticus
Lineage: Bacteria; Pseudomonadati; Bacteroidota; Sphingobacteriia; Sphingobacteriales; Sphingobacteriaceae
Description: 16S rRNA. Bacterial SSU
Rfam family: Bacterial small subunit ribosomal RNA
Source: RNAcentral
UUACAAUGGAGAGUUUGAUCCUGGCUCAGGAUGAACGCUAGCGGCAGGCCUAAUACAUGCAAGUCGAACGAUAUUAUCCAGCUUGCUGGAUAAGAAAGUGGCGCACGGGUGCGUAACGCGUAUGCAACCUACCUUAAUCAGGGGGAU